RNAcentral lists this transfer RNA (73 nucleotides) under Danio rerio (zebrafish). RNAcentral describes it as "tRNA-Tyr (GTA) (tRNA-Tyr-GTA-29-1)". It matches the Rfam family "tRNA". From Rfam's summary of the family: Transfer RNA (tRNA) molecules are approximately 80 nucleotides in length. Their secondary structure includes four short double-helical elements and three loops (D, anti-codon, and T loops). Lineage: Eukaryota; Metazoa; Chordata; Actinopteri; Cypriniformes; Danionidae. The record is from RNAcentral.
CCUUCGAUAGCUCAGUUGGUAGAGCGGAGAACUGUAGAUCCUUAGGUCGCUGGUUCGACUCCGGCUCGAAGGA